This 109-nucleotide small nuclear RNA is filed under the name Erinaceus europaeus (western European hedgehog). The record is from RNAcentral. Lineage: Eukaryota; Metazoa; Chordata; Mammalia; Eulipotyphla; Erinaceidae.
GUACUUUUGGCAGCAGGCAGCUCAUAUACUAAAAUUGGAGCACACAAAGAAGAGUUGUAUGGCCCCUGCACAAGAAGGUACCCAGAUCUGUGAAGCAUCCCAUACAUCU